RNAcentral lists this ribosomal RNA (467 nucleotides) under uncultured bacterium. RNAcentral describes it as "partial 16S ribosomal RNA". It matches the Rfam family "Bacterial small subunit ribosomal RNA", at positions 28 to 507 of the family's 1533-position model. The record is from RNAcentral.
GACGAACGCUGGCGGCGUGCUUAACACAUGCAAGUCGAACGGAAAGGCCCCUGAUUGCAGGGGUACUCGAGUGGCGAACGGGUGAGUAACACGUGGGUGAUCUGCCCUGCACUUCGGGAUAAGCCUGGGAAACUGGGUCUAAUACCGGAUAGGACCUCAUGUUGGAUGGUGCGGUGGAACGUUUUUCGGUGUGGGAUGAGCUCUCGGCCUGUCAGCUUGUUGGUGGGGUGAUGGUCUACCAAGGCGACGUUGGCUAGCCGGCCUGAGAGGGGGUACGACCACAUUGGGCCGGAUAGACUGCCCCGAUUCCUCCUGGGGGCAGCAGUGGUGAGUAUUGUACAAUGGGGGCAUGCCUGGUGCGGGGACGCCGCGUGGGGGAGGACUGCCUUCUUGUUGUAAACCCCUUUCGCUAGAGUCGAUGCGCUUUUGUGACGGUACCUGGAAAAGAAGCACCGGCUAGCUACGUG